Molecule: ribosomal RNA, 468 nt
Filed under: uncultured bacterium
Lineage: Bacteria
Description: partial 16S ribosomal RNA
Rfam family: Bacterial small subunit ribosomal RNA
Source: RNAcentral
GACGAACGCUGGCGGCGUGCUUAACACAUGCAAGUCGAACGGAAAGGCCCGGCUUUUGUGGGGUGCUCGAGUGGCGAACGGGUGAGUAACACGCGAGUAAACUGCCCCUGACUUUGGGAUAACUUCAGGAAAAUGGGGCUAAUACCGGGUAGGAGAUACUGCUGCAUGGGGGGGGAUGGAAAGUUUCGGCGGUUGGGGAUGGACUCGCGGCUUAUCAGCUUGUUGGUGGGGUAGGUGCUGACCAAGGCUUUGACGGGUAGCCGGCCUGAGAGCGUGACCGGCCACAUUGGGACUGCGAUACGGCCCAGACUCCUACGUGAGGCAGCAGUGGGGAAUAUUGCACAAUGAGCGGAAGCCUGAUGCAGCAACGCCGCGUGCGGGAUGCCCGCCUUCGGGUUGUAAACCGCUUUCGCCUGUGCCGUAGCGUGAGUGACGGUACUGGGUAAAGAAGCACCGGCUAACUACGUG